UAGCAUGAGGGGUGGGAAUGGGGAGA
RNAcentral lists this non-coding RNA (26 nucleotides) under Homo sapiens (human). The record is from RNAcentral. Lineage: Eukaryota; Metazoa; Chordata; Mammalia; Primates; Hominidae.